Molecule: ribosomal RNA, 528 nt
Filed under: uncultured bacterium
Lineage: Bacteria
Description: bacterial SSU rRNA
Rfam family: Bacterial small subunit ribosomal RNA
Source: RNAcentral
GCGGCGGAUGGGUGAGUAUCACGUGGGCAACCUGCCUGUAAGAUUGGGAUAACUCGCGGAAACGUGAGCUAAUACCGAAUGAAGUCUUUCGCCGCCUGGUGAAAGGAUGAAAGAUGGCUCUUGAGCUAUCACUUACAGAUGGGCCCGCGGCGCAUUAGCUAGUUGGUGGGGUAAAGGCCUACCAAGGCGACGAUGCGUAGCCGACCUGAGAGGGUGAUCGGCCACACUGGGACUGAGACACGGCCCAGACUCCUACGGGAGGCAGCAGUAGGGAAUCUUCCGCAAUGGACGAAAGUCUGACGGAGCAACGCCACGUGAGUGAUGAAGGUCUUCGGAUCGUAAAACUCUGUUGUCAGGGAAGAACAAGUUGUGUUCUAACAGGACAUGACCUUGACGGUACCUGACCAGAAAGCCCCGGCUAACUACGUGCCAGCAGCCGCGGUAAUACGUAGGGGGCAAGCGUUGUCCGGAAUUAUUGGGCGUAAAGCGCGCGCAGGCGGUCCUUUAAGUCUGAUGUGAAAGCCCACG